RNAcentral lists this ribosomal RNA (301 nucleotides) under uncultured bacterium. Its description in RNAcentral is "partial 16S ribosomal RNA". It matches the Rfam family "Bacterial small subunit ribosomal RNA", at positions 509 to 809 of the family's 1533-position model. The record is from RNAcentral.
CAGUCGCCGCGGUAAUACGAAGGGUGCAAGCGUUAAUCGGAAUUACUGGGCGUAAAGCGUGCGUAGGCGGUUUGUUAAGUCUGCUGUGAAAUCCCCGGGCUCAACCUGGGAAUGGCAGUGGAUACUGGCAAGCUAGAGUGUGUCAGAGGAUGGUGGAAUUCCCGGUGUAGCGGUGAAAUGCGUAGAGAUCGGGAGGAACAUCAGUGGCGAAGGCGGCCAUCUGGGACAACACUGACGCUGAGGCACGAAAGCGUGGGGAGCAAACAGGAUUAGAUACCCCUGUAGUCCCUGUCUCUUAUAA